Molecule: ribosomal RNA, 467 nt
Filed under: Dendrothereua homa
Lineage: Eukaryota; Metazoa; Arthropoda; Chilopoda; Scutigeromorpha; Scutigeridae
Description: partial 16S ribosomal RNA
Rfam family: Bacterial large subunit ribosomal RNA
Source: RNAcentral
GGUUUUUUGAAUUAAUAUGAAAAAUCUGACCUGCCCAAUGAUAAUUAAAUGGCCGCGGUAUUUUGACCGUGCGAAGGUAGCAUAAUCAUUAGUCUUUUAAUUGGGGACUGGAAUGAAUGGUUGGACGUGAUAAUAACUUUUUUAGUUAUAAUUAUUGAAUUUUACUUUUUGGUGAAGAGGCCAAAAUUUGACCAAAAGACAAGAAGACCCUGUUAAGUUUUAUUAUUAUUAGGCUUCGUAUUAGAGGAAAUGGGAGAGUUUAGUUUAAUUUUGCUGGGGCGGCAAGCUAUAACUAGCUAUAGAUCCAUAAUUUGUGAUUGUUUGAUUAAAUUACUAUAGGGAUAACAGCGUAAUCUUAUUUGAGAGUUCGUAUCGACAAUAAGGGUUGCGACCUCGAUGUUGGAUUAGAAUACCUUUUUGGGGCAGAGCCUAAAAGUGGUGGUCUGUUCGACCAUAGAAAUUCUACA